RNAcentral lists this ribosomal RNA (459 nucleotides) under uncultured bacterium. RNAcentral's name for it is "partial 16S ribosomal RNA". It matches the Rfam family "Bacterial small subunit ribosomal RNA", at positions 339 to 795 of the family's 1533-position model. The record is from RNAcentral.
CUACGGGUUGCUGCAGUAAGGAAUAUUGGUCAAUGGACGAAAGUCUGAACCAGCCAUGCCGCGUGAAGGAUGACGGCCCUAUGGGUUGUAAACUUCUUUUAUAUGGGAAGAAACCCCUCUACGUGUAGAGGGCUGACGGUACCAUACGAAUAAGCAUCGGCUAACUCCGUGCCAGCAGCCGCGGUAAUACGGAGGAUGCAAGCGUUAUCCGGAUUUAUUGGGUUUAAAGGGUGCGCAGGCGGAAAGAUAAGUCAGUGGUGAAAUCCUACGGCCUAACUGUAGAACUGCCAUUGAUACUGUCUUUCUUGAGUACAGUUGAAGUGGGCGGAAUGUGUCAUGUAGCGGUGAAAUGCAUAGAUAUGACACAGAACACCGAUAGCGAAGGCAGCUCACUAAACUGAAACUGACGCUCAUGCACGAAAGCGUGGGAAGCAAACAGGAUUAGAUACCCCGGUAGUC